This 643-nucleotide ribosomal RNA is filed under the name uncultured ciliate. RNAcentral's name for it is "SSU rRNA". It matches the Rfam family "Eukaryotic small subunit ribosomal RNA", at positions 341 to 999 of the family's 1831-position model. The record is from RNAcentral. Lineage: Eukaryota; Ciliophora.
CUACCAUGGCUUUCACGGGUAACGGAGGAUUAGGGUUCGAUUCCGGAGAGGGAGCCUGAGAAACGGCUACCACAUCUAAGGAAGGCAGCAGGCGCGUAAAUUACCCAAUCCUGACUCAGGGAGGUAGUGACAAGAAAUAACGGACCGAAGCCUAUGUUUCGGGAUUGCAAUGAGUAGAAUUUAAACCCCUUUACGAGGAUCAAUUGGAGGGCAAGUCUGGUGCCAGCAGCCGCGGUAAUUCCAGCUCCAAUAGCGUAUAUUAAAGUUGUUGCAGUUAAAAAGCUCGUAGUUGGAUUUCUGGGAGAGUGCCAAUGUCGUCUUGUUGACUGUGCAGCGGCGCUCUUCCAUCCUUCUGUUAACGUUUCUGAUAUUCAUUUAUUGGUCUCGGGCUCAGAUAUUUUACCUUGAGAAAAUUAGAGUGUUCCAGGCAGGCUCGCGCCGGAAUACAUUAGCAUGGAAUAAUAGAAUAGGACUUUAGUCUCCUUUGUUGGUUUGAGGGACUGAAGUAAUGAUUAAUAGGGAUAGUUGGGGGCAUUAGUAUUUAAUUGUCAGAGGUGAAAUUCUCGGAUUUGUUAAAGACUAACUUAUGCGAAAGCAUUUGCCAAGGAUGUUUUCAUUAAUCAAGAACGAAAGUUAGGGGAUC